RNAcentral lists this non-coding RNA (45 nucleotides) under Schistosoma mansoni. Lineage: Eukaryota; Metazoa; Platyhelminthes; Trematoda; Strigeidida; Schistosomatidae. The record is from RNAcentral.
AUCUAACUGACAAGUCCCAAAUAGGACGAAACAUGUGUCCUGGAU